This 33-nucleotide ribosomal RNA is filed under the name uncultured zygomycete. RNAcentral describes it as "partial 5.8S ribosomal RNA". Lineage: Eukaryota; Fungi. The record is from RNAcentral.
AUUCCACUUUCAACAACCGAWCCCUUGGGUCUC